AGUGAACGCUGGCGGUAGGCCUAACACAUGCAAGUCGAACGGCAGCACAGUAAGAGCUUGCUCUUACGGGUGGCGAGUGGCGGACGGGUGAGGAAUACAUCGGAAUCUACUUUUUCGUGGGGGAUAACGUAGGGAAACUUACGCUAAUACCGCAUACGACCUACGGGUGAAAGCAGGGGAUCUUCGGACCUUGCGCGAUUGAAUGAGCCGAUGUCGGAUUAGCUAGUUGGCGGGGUAAAGGCCCACCAAGGCGACGAUCCGUAGCUGGUCUGAGAGGAUGAUCAGCCACAAUGGAACUGAGACACGGUCCAGAGUCCUAAGGGAGGCAGCAGUGGGGAAUAUUGGACAAUGGGCGCAAGCCUGAUCAAGCCAUACCGCGUGGGUGAAGAAGGCCUUCGGGUUGUAAAGACCUUUUGUUGGGAAAGAAAAGCAGCAGGUUAAUACCCCGCUGUUCUGACGGUACCCAAAGAAUAAGCACCGGCUAACUUAGUG
Molecule: ribosomal RNA, 492 nt
Filed under: uncultured bacterium
Lineage: Bacteria
Description: partial 16S ribosomal RNA
Rfam family: Bacterial small subunit ribosomal RNA
Source: RNAcentral